Molecule: long non-coding RNA, 1016 nt
Filed under: Sus scrofa (pig)
Lineage: Eukaryota; Metazoa; Chordata; Mammalia; Artiodactyla; Suidae
Description: lncRNA (ENSSSCG00060010919.1)
Source: RNAcentral
UUAAUUUUAUGUGUCUGUUUCCAUCCUCCUCUAACACCUUCCUUCCUUGAGGUUAAGCCGCAGAAUGGGCUUAAUGAGCUGGUUGGGUCAUCAGUUAUCAACUUAAGAUAAAUGGCAGUUGGGGGAAGGUGGGGGAAGGGGGUCCCAUCCCUGAAGUCCCAGUGCCUGGCUCAGUCAGCCAACCACCCCACUUCAUCAAGAGCAAAGGAAGGCUGUGGGUGGUUUUCAUAUCAAGACAGCAAAGCAGCAUGUUAAGAGCUCCCCCAGAAUCGUGCAGAAACCCCAAGUGUUCUUUCCAGCUCUGUCUGGUUCUGGGCUGAGCGGCUCAGACCAUGCCGUUAGCUCCUCUGGAUCUGUCUUCUGAGAAAUGAGACCUAAUAGACGUGGCCUUCUGCAGAAAAGUUCUGUAGCUGACUUUCUGACAAGCCACGGGCAAGAAGGCAGAGGAUAAUUAAUUACGACCACCGUGCAAGCCUCCAAAGAAAGGUAAGGCCCCUGUGGCUGCUCCAUCUGACGUAUCAGGAAACUGAGGCACAGAAUGAGGAGGGGCUCCGCCCUCAGGUCGACGUGCCCGCCAUCAGGACCGCACAAACACAGGAAAGCGCUCACAUCUCAGGUCUUCUCUUGAAGCUCAGCGGUGCCCCCACCACUUUCUCCGCGACCACAUGCCCACAUAGAAAUCAUUUUGGUUGUUUGGUGUUAAUCAAAAUUGACAGGCAUGCAAAUCACAGCCCAAGAUUCUAGUCCUUUGAAAUUGCUUUAUUAAUCACUGUAUUUGUGAAGGCUCAGAGAAAAAUCUCAGUGGUAAUAUUCUAAGAGCCUUUGACAAGCUCAGAGUUGUCCUUAAUGAUACAGAAGACAGACAGUGGUCAAGUCACUCAGUGAUGGUUCUCUGAGAAUGACCGUUUGGGUUUUUUUCUUUCCACGCAGUUGCCAGGGUUUUUGUGUUCAGGCUGGUAGAUGUCACUCGGCUUUAUGAAAUGGGUGUGAUUCGGCACAGCUGUGGUUCUUUGUCC